RNAcentral lists this ribosomal RNA (473 nucleotides) under uncultured bacterium. RNAcentral's name for it is "bacterial SSU rRNA". It matches the Rfam family "Bacterial small subunit ribosomal RNA", at positions 328 to 793 of the family's 1533-position model. The record is from RNAcentral.
CGCUGUCACUCCUACGGGAGGCAGCAGUAGGGAAUAUUGCACAAUGGGCGCAAGCCUGAUGCAGCCAUGCCGCGUGUGUGAAGAAGGCCUUCGGGUUGUAAAGCACUUUCAGUUGUGAGGAAGGUGGUGUCGUUAAUAGCGGCAUCAUUUGACGUUAGCAACAGAAGAAGCACCGGCUAACUCCGUGCCAGCAGCCGCGGUAAUACGGAGGGUGCGAGCGUUAAUCGGAAUUACUGGGCGUAAAGCGCAUGCAGGUGGUUUGUUAAGUCAGAUGUGAAAGCCCCGGGGCUCAACCUCGGAAUUGCAUUUGAAACUGGCAGACUAGAGUACUGUAGAGGGGGUAGAAUUUCAGGUGUAGCGGUGAAAUGCGUAGAGAUCUGAAGGAAUACCGGUGGCGAAGGCGGCCCCCUGGACAGAUACUGACACUCAGAUGCGAAAGCGUGGGGAGCAAACAGGAUUAGAUACCCUGGUAG